CCCUAACAACUCUAAGUGUGCCUCCGCAGUCCCUCGAAGGAAAAAAAAUGAUGUGAGGUGGCAGGUAUCCACCCUCACCUAUAAAAUCCGAACUCUCCAAAACUUUUUAGGUAAGUGAAAAACUUGCUCUUAUGUGACCCCUUCCGGAGACUGACUCCAUAUGAAUUGGAGGGAAUUGGCUGCCCUCUUCUCUUCGCUCCAGAGGUGGAUGUUCCUCGAUUGAUUGAAUCGGAGACCCACGGUUCCAUUCUUCAAUCCGGGCUGGGACCUACAGCAGCUAACGCCACCUCCUCCCACUCGCCUUCUGGUGCGUGCGGACUUCCCCAUCCCUCUG
RNAcentral lists this long non-coding RNA (334 nucleotides) under Elaeis guineensis (African oil palm). RNAcentral's name for it is "long non-coding RNA (EGUI_LNC004849)". The record is from RNAcentral. Lineage: Eukaryota; Viridiplantae; Streptophyta; Magnoliopsida; Arecales; Arecaceae.